Non-coding RNA from Immersiella caudata, 100 nucleotides. The record is from the annotation of a GenBank genome assembly. Lineage: Eukaryota; Fungi; Ascomycota; Sordariomycetes; Sordariales; Lasiosphaeriaceae.
GGGCGGGUAGCGUAGUGGUCAGUGUGUUCACGAAGCAUUUUUUCAGCGUUGCGUUUCCAGCGUUUAGCGAGAGUCCUGGGUUCGAAUCCCAGCCCGCCUA